RNAcentral lists this non-coding RNA (22 nucleotides) under Rattus norvegicus (Norway rat). Lineage: Eukaryota; Metazoa; Chordata; Mammalia; Rodentia; Muridae. The record is from RNAcentral.
UCCCUUCAGAAUAUCAGAGGGC